CGUGAAGCUGGAUUCGCUAGUAAUCGCGCAUCAGCCAUGGCGCGGUGAAUACGUUCCCGGGCCUUGUACACACCGCCCGUCAAGCCAUGGGAGCCGGGGGGUGCUUGAAGUGCGUCGCCGCAAGGCGCGCCCUAGAGCAAAACCGAUGACUGGGGCUAAGUCGUAACAAGGUAUC
RNAcentral lists this ribosomal RNA (175 nucleotides) under uncultured bacterium. RNAcentral describes it as "partial 16S ribosomal RNA". It matches the Rfam family "Bacterial small subunit ribosomal RNA", at positions 1319 to 1500 of the family's 1533-position model. The record is from RNAcentral.